Molecule: ribosomal RNA, 372 nt
Filed under: uncultured eukaryote
Lineage: Eukaryota
Description: partial 18S ribosomal RNA
Rfam family: Eukaryotic small subunit ribosomal RNA
Source: RNAcentral
CAAUAGCGUAUAUUAAAGUUGUUGCAGUUAAAAAGCUCGUAGUUGGAUUUGUGGCGGUUCCUGUGGUCCGAUUUCGGUACUUUCGGGGACUGCCAUCCUUGGGUGGAUCCUGUGUGGCAUUAGGUUGUCGUGCAGGGGAUGCCCAUCGUUUACUGUGAAAAAAUUAGAGUGUUCAAAGCAGGCUUAUGCCGUUGAAUAUAUUAGCAUGGAAUAAUGAGAUAGGACCUUGGUACUAUUUUGUUGGUUUGCGCACCGAGGUAAUGAUUAAUAGGGACAGUUGUGGGUAUUCGUAUUCCAUUGUCAGAGGUGAAAUUCUUGGAUUUCUGGAAGACGAACGAAUGCGAAAGCAUUUGCCAAGGAUGUUUUCAUUAA